This 1352-nucleotide ribosomal RNA is filed under the name Lactiplantibacillus plantarum. RNAcentral describes it as "bacterial SSU rRNA". It matches the Rfam family "Bacterial small subunit ribosomal RNA", at positions 76 to 1416 of the family's 1533-position model. The record is from RNAcentral. Lineage: Bacteria; Bacillati; Bacillota; Bacilli; Lactobacillales; Lactobacillaceae.
UGAUUUACAUUUGAGUGAGUGGCGAACUGGUGAGUAACACGUGGGAAACCUGCCCAGAAGCGGGGGAUAACACCUGGAAACAGAUGCUAAUACCGCAUAACAACUUGGACCGCAUGGUCCGAGCUUGAAAGAUGGCUUCGGCUAUCACUUUUGGAUGGUCCCGCGGCGUAUUAGCUAGAUGGUGGGGUAACGGCUCACCAUGGCAAUGAUACGUAGCCGACCUGAGAGGGUAAUCGGCCACAUUGGGACUGAGACACGGCCCAAACUCCUACGGGAGGCAGCAGUAGGGAAUCUUCCACAAUGGACGAAAGUCUGAUGGAGCAACGCCGCGUGAGUGAAGAAGGGUUUCGGCUCGUAAAACUCUGUUGUUAAAGAAGAACAUAUCUGAGAGUAACUGUUCAGGUAUUGACGGUAUUUAACCAGAAAGCCACGGCUAACUACGUGCCAGCAGCCGCGGUAAUACGUAGGUGGCAAGCGUUGUCCGGAUUUAUUGGGCGUAAAGCGAGCGCAGGCGGUUUUUUAAGUCUGAUGUGAAAGCCUUCGGCUCAACCGAAGAAGUGCAUCGGAAACUGGGAAACUUGAGUGCAGAAGAGGACAGUGGAACUCCAUGUGUAGCGGUGGAAUGCGUAGAUAUAUGGAAGAACACCAGUGGCGAAGGCGACUCUCUGGUCUGCAACUGACGCUGAGGCUCGAAAGCAUGGGUAGCGAACAGGAUUAGAUACCCUGGUAGUCCAUACCGUAAACGAUGAAUGCUAAGUGUUGGAGGGUUUCCGCCCUUCAGUGCUGCAGCUAACGCAUUAAGCAUUCCGCCUGGGGAGUACGGCCGCAAGGCUGAAACUCAAAGGAAUUGACGGGGGCCCGCACAAGCGGUGGAGCAUGUGGUUUAAUUCGAAGCUACGCGAAGAACCUUACCAGGUCUUGACAUACUAUGCAAAUCUAAGAGAUUAGACGUUCCCUUCGGGGACAUGGAUACAGGUGGUGCAUGGUUGUCGUCAGCUCGUGUCGUGAGAUGUUGGGUUAAGUCCCGCAACGAGCGCAACCCUUAUUAUCAGUUGCCAGCAUUAAGUUGGGCACUCUGGUGAGACUGCCGGUGACAAACCGGAGGAAGGUGGGGAUGACGUCAAAUCAUCAUGCCCCUUAUGACCUGGGCUACACACGUGCUACAAUGGAUGGUACAACGAGUUGCGAACUCGCGAGAGUAAGCUAAUCUCUUAAAGCCAUUCUCAGUUCGGAUUGUAGGCUGCAACUCGCCUACAUGAAGUCGGAAUCGCUAGUAAUCGCGGAUCAGCAUGCCGCGGUGAAUACGUUCCCGGGCCUUGUACACACCGCCCGUCACACCAUGAGAGUUUGUA